UCUCUCUCUCCCUCUCGCUCUCUCCGGCCAAACCCAAUCCACCCGCCGCCGGUGAGCCCUAGCACACAGAGGGGUAAGAUCCAACAGCCAAGCCAGUCCACCACCACGCCAUGGCGCCGUCCCCGAGCACUUGCGCCCCCGACGGCGGCCUGGAUCCCAUGGACGUGUGCACCGUCGGCGUCGCCAGCACGCCCAUCGACGCCUUGCUUGGCUGCCUCUCGUCCCUCCCCGCCACCAAGCUCGGCUCCGUCGCCAUCCAGGUACCGCUGAUUCGAAAGCAACAUCUCGAACUACUGAUGGAGUGAUAUAUAUGAUACCGAAUCAGGAAUCCAGGAUCGAUUCUUCAGUUAAUCAACUCCUCCAUGGAUAGAUCAGCCUCCAGAUUUGUUCCAUAUCUUGCCAUCCUUCUUGAUUUCUCAUAUUCCCUGUCAAGCUAUCCGGAGGAUGUACAGUUCAGGGGAAUGGAGAUGAUCACGAACGUGUCCGAGUACUGGAAACUUGCCAGGGAGAAGCUCCUGAAGAUGGUGUACGACUACUACGCCUCCGACGCAGAGGAUCAGUGGAAGCUCAACGAGAACAGGGAGGCCUUCUCCAGGAUACUGAUAUGGAUGACUAUCUGAAGGGAUGCAGGUUUCUUCCCAAACUUAACAAUGCGAUACCUGGUGAAAGAAAUGCUCCCUACAGGGAAAGGUUGAGCAGCCUAGAGAAUUUAGUACUGAUCAUGGGGUGAUCGACGCAGACUACUGCGGCCUGAUGGGCAUCGUGCUCUUCAACUACUCGGGGGCAGACUUCACCGUGAAGCCUCGCGACCGUGUCAUACUGAUGAUUGUCCAGGUGAUUGCGAUGCCGGAGGUCCCCGGGGUGGAGGACCUCGACGCCACCAUACGAAGGUCACAGAGGUGGAGGACGACGCCACCGCCCGGAGUUCCUCAAGGUGGAGGACCUCGACGCUUUGUAGAUACAUCUAGAGAAGUGGUCUGGUUAGGUUGGUGGUGAAACAAUAGGGAAGGUACCAACCUUUUGAUGAUGGUUGUGUGCGUCCUCGUGAUCUCUUCGAGUUGAGAUGUUCAAUGCUGCAUCCAUGAACACUGCAAGUGUUAAGAUGGUUCUGUGACCUUAAUUUAUUUUGCACUGGACGUGUCUCU
Triticum aestivum (bread wheat) is the source of this 1145-nucleotide long non-coding RNA. RefSeq lists it as uncharacterized. The record is from RefSeq and is a predicted model, not a curated record. NCBI's taxonomy places the organism in Eukaryota, Viridiplantae, Streptophyta, Magnoliopsida, Poales, Poaceae. The transcript has 5 exons.